CGCAUGGAGGAAAAAGGAAAGGCGGCUUCGGCUGCCACUUACAGAUGGGCCCGCGGCGCAUUAGCUAGUUGGCGGGGUAACGGCCCACCAAGGCAACGAUGCGUAGCCGACCUGAGAGGGUGAUCGGCCACAUUGGGACUGAGACACGGCCCAAACUCCUACGGGAGGCAGCAGUAGGGAAUCUUCCGCAAUGGACGAAAGUCUGACGGAGCAACGCCGCGUGAGUGAAGAAGGCCUUCGGGUCGUAAAACUCUGUUGCCGGGGAAGAACAAGUGCCGUUCGAACAGGGCGGCGCCUUGACGGUACCCGGCCAGAAAGCCACGGCUAACUACGUGCCAGCAGCCGCGGUAAUACGUAGGUGGCAAGCGUUGUCCGGAAUUAUUGGGCGUAAAGCGCGCGCAGGCGGCUUCUUAAGUCUGAUGUGAAAUCUUGCGGCUCAACCGCAAGCGGUCAUUGGAAACUGGGAGGCUUGAGUGCAGAAGAGGAGAGUGGAAUUCCACGUGUAGCGGUGAAAUGCGUAGAGAUGUGGAGGAACACCAGUGGCGAAGGCGGCUCUCUGGUCUGUAACUGACGCUGAGGCGCGAAAGCGUGGGGAGCAAACAGGAUUAGAUACCCUGGUAGUCCACGCCGUAAACGAUGAGUGCUAAGUGUUA
This 653-nucleotide ribosomal RNA is filed under the name Heyndrickxia coagulans. RNAcentral's name for it is "bacterial SSU rRNA". It matches the Rfam family "Bacterial small subunit ribosomal RNA", at positions 187 to 825 of the family's 1533-position model. The record is from RNAcentral. Lineage: Bacteria; Bacillati; Bacillota; Bacilli; Caryophanales; Bacillaceae.